Molecule: long non-coding RNA, 3979 nt
Organism: Ictidomys tridecemlineatus (thirteen-lined ground squirrel)
Lineage: Eukaryota; Metazoa; Chordata; Mammalia; Rodentia; Sciuridae
Source: Ensembl
CAGGGCCGGGGCGGGCUAGAGCCCGGUCGGAGGGGAGCGCGCGGGGGCCAGAGGGGCGAAGGCGCGAGUGCGCGAGUGCGCGUGCGCGAGCGGCGGGGCUUUCUCCCGAGCCGUCGGAGGGAGCCGGAGCGCUUCUCCGGAGUUGGUGAUCCACUGGUCGUGGUCCAACAUGCAGAAGUGAGCGAGUGGCGAACAGCAGAGCCGAUGGGUCGCGAGGAUGUAAGCGCGUUUGGAGGCUUCCACACCCUCUACUCCAGGACAGAAUCAUGAAUAAACUGGAGGAUAAGCAGGACCAGAUGAUACCAUGAAGAGAAGUUUACAGGCCCUCUAUUGCCAACUGUUAAAGAUUGUGCUCUGGGAAACAGUUCCCAGUGGAGUCAUGGACCUCAUCAGUCCAGCUGUUGAACCAGUGAUCUCCGGACAUUUCUGGAACCCACCAGGCUUCCUCCUGACCUUGGCACUGACCGAAGCACUGGUACUUGCUGUCCAGGAACCAUCUCCCAGGGCAUCUCUCCAGGUCCUCCCCUCAGGCAGUCCCCCAGGCACCAUGGUGACAGCAUCCGACAGCCCUACAAGACCCUCCUCCACGGCUCUGAACCCCCAUCCCGAUGGACCCUCCUCACAGGCCGCAGCUACCACGGCAACGACAGCCCAUCCAGAUGGGCACCCUCCUACAAACACUGUUCCCACCAUCGUGGUGACAGCAACCACCCCCCAUCCCGAAAGGCCCCUGCAGCUCACAGGUUCCCCUUCAGUUCCUAUGGCAACCACACCCUCGCAUUCAGAGGGCCGCCCCCCAGGGGAGGCCGCCCCCACCAUCCUGCUGACAAAGCCAACAGGAGUCACCAGCCGGCCCACCGCCGCGGUCCCCCGGGCUACCACCCGCAGGCACCCCAGGCCCCCCGGCUCUUCCCGAAAGGGGGCUGGGGGUUCAUCGCGCCCUGUCCCACCUGCCCCCGGUGGCGGCUACUCUGGGAGGAGAGAAGGCCACCGAGGACGCAAUCAGAGCUCCACGCACCUGGGGCCAAAGCGACCCCUGGGGAAGAUAUUCCAGAUCUACAAGGGCAACUUCACAGGGUCUGUGGACCCCGAACCCUUGGCCCUUUCCCCCAGGACCCCACCCUGGGGGAACGCCUCUUCGCCACAGCCCCAGACAGUGGCUGUGACCACAGCAUCCGGAAGUACCUCGUGGGCACCCCCCACUACCCCUGCGGUGCCUGCAGAGGACAAGCCAGGCCUUAGCAGAGCAGACCAGGGGGGUGUCCCCACCUUCACCAGCCCAGGAGGGGAGCCGGUCGCCACCGCCACCUCAGGUGCCCCUGCCCGUCCACAACCUGCCCCAGUGCCUUCUCAACGCCCCCGAGGUGACGCGCAGGACAGCCCCAGCCACAGUGACUCUUGGCUUACCGUCACCCCUGGCACCAACAGACCUCCGUCUGGCAGCUCUGGGGUCUUCCCAGCUGCCCCGGGGUCCACCCAGGCUGCCUUUGAUGCCAGUGGCUCAGCCCCUUCCCAGGGGAUUCCUCAGGGAGCAUCCACAACCCCACAGGCCCCAGCCCGUCCCCCCGGGGCCUCAGAAAACACUGUUUCUCCAGCCGAGGAGGAGGCUGCGGCCUCCCCCACCGUGACCGACAGGGUGCCCAGUCCUCUCUCCACCGUGGUGUCCACAGCCACAGGAAACUUCCUCAACCGCCUGGUCCCCGCCGGGACCUGGAAGCCCGGAACAGCAGGGAACAUCUCCCACGUGGCUGAAGGAGACAAACCCCAGCACAGAACCACCAUCUGCCUGAGCAAGAUGGACAUCGUCUGGGUGAUCCUGGCCAUCAGCGUACCCAUCUCCUCCUGCUCCGUCUUGCUGACUGUGUGCUGCAUGAGGAGGAAGAAGAAGACAGCCAACCCCGAGAACAACCUGAGCUACUGGAACAACGCCAUCACCAUGGACUACUUUAACAGGCACGCCGUGGAGCUGCCCAGGGAGAUUCAGUCCCUGGAGACCUCCGAGGACCAGCUCUCAGAGCCCCGGUCCCCAGCCAACGGCGACUAUCGAGACACGGGGAUGGUCCUCGUGAACCCCUUCUGUCAAGAGACACUGUUCGUGGGAAACGAUCAAGUGUCCGAGAUCUAGCUGCAGCAGCCUUCACUCUGCCGUUCCCUAUUUUUCAUCUCUAAAUGAUAAAUAUACAAAUAUAUAUAUAUUAUAAAUAUAACCUUUGUGUAACCCUGACUUAAUGAGAAACAUUUUCAGCUUUUUUUCCUAAGAAUUGUCAACAUCUUUUUUAUAAGUGUGGUUUAAAAAUCAGAAAAAAAAAAAAAACUUUACAGAAUGACCCGUGGCUUUAUAAAAUAAAGGUAUUUCUAAGCAAAGCAGUGGCAUCAGUUGCUUCUCUUGAUAACUGUCUCUGAGCCCUCGGGGAGUCGCAGGAGCCCGGGCAGGUGAGGGAAGAGACCGACCUCCUGGACAAGCAGAAUGCUAAAGUGGUCAAGGGCAUCGUCUGUUGCCCGAUUCCUAAAGCUCUGGUUCCUUAGAUUCGAGACCCGUCUCCUCCCUCCUCAUGUGCACAUGCGUGAAGGGGACUGGGCCACCCAGGAGGAGCACGAGGUACAGCAUACUCAAACCAAAGCAGGAAAAGCGAAAAUGUCUUCACCCUGGAGGACAGGAACCCUGGGGACUCUCGGUGACACCACUGGAUGUCAAGUUCAAUGCCACCCAUGUCAUAGGCGGAGGCAGGAGCCGACCACACUCAGGAGAUCCGAGGAGGACAUGGAAGCAUCCUAAGGCGCCUGCCCUGUGAUCACCCCGUGGGUGCUCCCGCCAGGCCAACCACAGGACCUCCCGUCCCUGGAAGCCCCACAUCUGCAUCCCACAAUGUCGCCUCUUCUCUCAGGGAGGGUGUAGGCACAGGUCCCAACCCUGGAGCUUUAGAACCCUCGCCCUUCCUUAAGGAUCAGAUGUUCAUUGGGGUUUUCUCCAAAAGUGAUGAUGGUGUUGUGUCCCAAGGAACAGGUCUAAGGGCUUGCCACUUUUGAAACCUUCCUCCUGCACUCCUAAAGCAAACCAGAUUGCCAAAGCCAGCCACUUGGGAGAAGCCAGAAGCUGGUUCCGUCCACCCGCAGAGGUACUGCAGACCCUCUUGCCCCUUGGGCCCAAGGAUCUGCUAUGGGCUCUUCUUUUGCCCUCCUUUCUCUCUCCUGCUCCCUGCAUCCCGCCAGGCUGCCUCCGGACUCCCACGGUGCCCAGAGACCAGCACCAGUGAGGCUCAGACUCUCAGCCACACAAGAGGGGCUUCCAGAGGUGGCCGCUCCUCUGAUAUUUUCCUAAGAGUGGCUAGAAGAGAAGAGAACUGCUUUGACGCUUCCUUUCUCUAAAAAAGAAAAAUAGUUUGAUAGUCUAUUUUGAAUAUAGAUGUUCUUAUAGGCAGAUUGGGAAUUGAAAUUGAAUGUCGGUUCAUCCGUUUGUGUUGUUACUUACUGUGGUCUUCUUACCAUGACUUUCUCCUUCCCACCCACGUUGCCCUUUUUCAAAAAAAGCAAGAUGGCCUUCGAAAAUGUGUGUUCUCGAUGUCUGUAUGAACCUCCUCGACCCGAGUUGUGUGGUCUCUCAGCCCCCAAAGGAGCAGGUUAAAUGUUGCCCUGAGAUUUGUUUUUUCUGUUACUGUCUAUGUUGUUCUCUGACCUUAACCUUCUCAUGUUUCUUUAGCUAUUGCAUUGACUAUAUCAACGUGUGUGAGUACAUAGAGUGAGAAAUCUGUUUGUAAAGUAAAAUUUAUAUAUAAUAUAUGUAAUCAAGGAUACAUAUGUUAUAUAUACAUUUGUGGAUGUAUGACUUAUUUUUCCGUACCCACAGAAUUCCGCUACCAUGGAUAUAUAAAUAAACUUAUUUUAUUACCCAAAGGAUUAAGUCACUAAUAUAUUUUGCCUUCUUUUUCAUCGGAAAAUAACUUUCAAGUCUCGCUUAUACGUGUCCAUCUGUGUUUUUUAA